RNAcentral lists this long non-coding RNA (841 nucleotides) under Hordeum vulgare. Its description in RNAcentral is "long non-coding RNA (HVUL_LNC017382)". The record is from RNAcentral. Lineage: Eukaryota; Viridiplantae; Streptophyta; Magnoliopsida; Poales; Poaceae.
GGGAUGGGGUGGAUCAGGACGGUCGGGUCCCGAUCUGGCUGAGGAGGACGCCGGUCCGUCGCCGGCGAGCAUCGCGACGGUGGUCAGAGGUGGAGGCGAGGCCGAGGGGCGCGUGGGAGGCCGGGUCCAUGGCGAGUCGGGCCGGAUCUGGUGGCGGGCGCAGCGCACCAUGCGGCGGAGCGGCGAGGCAGGAGGCGGCGACGCGCGACAACGCAGGCGCGCGGGGCGGCGAGGCAGGAGGCGGCGCGCCUGGGGCGGCGAAGUGCGGCAGCGGCGGCACGCGGCAGUGCAGGCCACGGUUGUUGCUGCCGGCUGAUCAAUGAUAGCGCGUGUGCACGGCAGCGCGCACGGCGCCAAGAAUCCAUCCCUUGCUGGCUCGCUCCCUGCCUCCUUUCGUUCUGAUCUUUGCAGUCGGCAGGGGCAGCACGCCACAUCGAUUCAGUUUCACAGCUACAACUUACAAAUUCAACCACUGAAGGUAUAAUUGAUAAUUAGAUGUACUGAUCCUUCUAUUUCUAAAAUUGGGAUCUCUUCGCUCAUGCAGCCAUGCUGCUGCUUGUUUGAAACAGUCAUGCUAAUUCGAUUUCCCAAUUUAUCUAUCAAUGCAGGUGCAGGCAUGGGCACAGUUUUGUGCUUGCUGUCAAUCACGCUGCAGUAUAGACGUGCAAGAGUAAGUUUGUUUGAUCAGUUGGUGCAAGUUCUUUCUGUAAAAAAUGUUUCUAAUGUAUAAAAAACUGAACAAUGAUGCUUAUACAAACUUUACGUAAACCAAUGGCUUAGCUUUGAUUUUUCAUAUUUUUUUAAACUGUUUUGCUAAUGAUUUUUUUUAAGUAUAUGGAUG